UUUGGUGGCGAUGGCGGAGGGGAACCACGCGUACCCAUCCCGAACACGACCGUUAAGCCCUCCAGCGCCGAUGGUACUUGGACCGCAGGGUCCUGGGAGAGUAGGACGUUGCCAAGC
This 117-nucleotide ribosomal RNA is filed under the name Paenibacillus sacheonensis. The record is from RNAcentral. Lineage: Bacteria; Bacillati; Bacillota; Bacilli; Caryophanales; Paenibacillaceae. RNAcentral also lists the same sequence under 7 other names.